CUGGCUUGCCUGGUACACCUCCAUAUGCUAGUAGAAAUAUUAAAACAGAAAGUCCAGGUUCAAGUAUAUCAACCAAAUGGAAAAGUUUUUCAUUUUCACUACUGUGUGAAGUGACCAUUGAAGAAAAUUUCAAGCAAAGACAACUAAGCAGCAAGAGACAGCAAAACAGCAUUAAGCCACUAGUCUUACUGUCCAUCUGCAAGGCAACUAGAAGGUAAGUAUCAAUAUAAGUAAGUUUCAUUAUCCAAAAUAUUGAACUAAGUAA
RNAcentral lists this long non-coding RNA (265 nucleotides) under Anser brachyrhynchus (Pink-footed goose). RNAcentral's name for it is "lncRNA (ENSABRG00000002403.1)". Lineage: Eukaryota; Metazoa; Chordata; Aves; Anseriformes; Anatidae. The record is from RNAcentral.